AGGUGAAUGCUGUGAGACAAAACAGAAGAUGUGCCGAUGAAUGUUUUUAAUGCCUGAUGUCAUCAUCCAGCAACUGUCCCAAAGAUUCACCAGCUUAAAUGGAACUGUGAACAUGUUUGAGGACAUGUCAUGUUGUACUGUACAUUGAGAAUGACGGCUCAAAGAAAAUGGACAUACAGCGCACCACGGACAAGUCUGCGGAGCUUAAGGCUCGUCCAAACAGUGGAGGACGGCUUUCUUCAUGCAUGGCUUCCGUUUGCUGCACAGUGAAGAAUGUUGUUACCAGGCAACAGGCAUAACAAUGACACAGUGAACAGGUGCACAGGUGCAGGUGUACAGCUCAGUACAGUAGCAGCAGAUCUACAAACUCUCUUGGCAAGUUGCCAGGUUGGUAAACUUCAUCCCAUCCCAGCUGUGACAGAACAUCAGAGGGGACAAAACCCAACAGCCCUCAUCCAGUGAAACACAGGCCAGGAGCAGGGGGACAGUGUGCAGACAGACAUGACAUGGACUCUGACCUCGGUACAGACAGCAGUGUGAUGUCUGACCCUGGGGCUUGUUUGUGAUAGUACUGGUUAAUUUGUAUUAAUGGUGCAAAUUGCGAAGGAUAAUUACACUUCAAAUCUCCCUCUACAAAAUCAAAAAAUGUCUGUCUUUAUUCACUUUAGAAGUACAGUUCCUUUAUUUUUUUUGUCACGAAAUAUAUUAAAAUAAAUGUAAAAAAAAAAAAGAGCCUGUAUACAUAUACAUGUGCAAUUUAAGUGUUCAACGUAUUGUGUUGGUUUUCCCAACAGAUUGGGAUCAAUGAUGAUGAUCUCAGUUUUGUAUGAGACCCUGAUGGACAUCAAAUAUUUUUGUUUUAUUGGAAAUACUUUGUUAGAUUUAACAUUUUUAUUAUGAAAGGAAUAGUAGGGCUUGUAAAA
Long non-coding RNA from Notolabrus celidotus (New Zealand spotty), 923 nucleotides. RefSeq lists it as uncharacterized. The transcript has 3 exons. The record is from RefSeq and is a predicted model, not a curated record. Lineage: Eukaryota; Metazoa; Chordata; Actinopteri; Labriformes; Labridae.